Molecule: long non-coding RNA, 7167 nt
Filed under: Brassica napus (rape)
Lineage: Eukaryota; Viridiplantae; Streptophyta; Magnoliopsida; Brassicales; Brassicaceae
Description: long non-coding RNA (BNAP_LNC004150)
Source: RNAcentral
GAAUAGACUUUUAUGGAGGCGAUGCUUUUGGCGAUUUAGGGUUUCAUGAUUUCAAGAAGAUGGGAUCCGGGAAUUAGAGAUGGGGAUUGGGUUUUUCCGAUCUUUCAUGAUCAAUUCACGGAUUGUGGUUUUCAAGGUCUGCGUUUGGAUAGUUUGGGGACCGUUAUGGGAAUAGCGAAGGAGUUCUGUGAGAUCUUAUGGAUACUGCAGAUUUGGGGACAAAGGCGAGGGAUUUCAGAGGCUAUCAAGGUGGAUUGCAAUAUCUCUACAGGUUGUAAUCUAGAUUAUGAUUAUUUAAUUUUCCACUUUCAUCUAGUAGCGAUUGAUUUGCUUUACCUUAUGGAGGAUUGGGGGUCGUCGUAUCUUUCGGGAUUGAGAUCAGAGACUAUCAAAUUAAGGAGAUACGGGUUAAUUGUGGGAUAUUUGGUAUGGGAAUUUUUGGAAAACUGGGGUCAAUAUAAGAAAAAGUUUAUUGAGUCUCUUUGGCACAUCAUUGCUUUUUCAUUUUGCCAUUAUAUGCUUCAAUCGUGCUUCUUCUUUGUGAUACUCAUGACGCAGAGUCAGAUGUUGAAUCACGGUGAGGAGCUGAGGAACGGUGCAGGCAUGCGUAAGAGAUUGAAGAUUUCAGUGGCGCACUUCGACAAUUCUGCGCUGAUCAAAACCUAUUCCAAGACAUUGAUCGGGAGAUGUAUGAAUCCAGUGGAGCAGGAGAUGAAUGCGCUUUUCACAAAUCUCCCAAAGAUUUGGAAACAGGAAGAGAGGGUAACGGGUACUGAUCUGGGCUUUGGUAAAUUUCAGUUCGACUUCACGACGAAGGAGGAACUUGAAGCGGUGUUGAAGCAACAGCCUUACCAUUUUGACUACUGGAUGCUGGCUUUGGCAAGGUGGCAACCAAAACAAUCCAAGCUUUUUCCCUCAGAGAUCAUGUUCUGGAUAAGAGUCUUGGGGGUUCCUCUGGAGUUCAGGACGGUCCCGACCUUCGAGAGUAUUGGUGGAGCCUUGGGGAGAGUUGUUGCGGUUGAUGUGAAGCAUAACCGGGUUCAAGUAGUGAUUGACGCUUUUAAGGAGUUAUGCUUCGAGACGACGGUGGAUUUCAAAGGAGGAGAAUUUUAUGAGGAAGAGGAGGUGGCGGUGUCUCUGAGGUAUGAGAAAUUAUUUGGGUAUUGCAAGCUCUGUGCCAGUCUUUGCCACAAGGAUGAGCUAUGUCCGUUGAAUGAGAAGAAACCUAAGCCGAGUCCUGAACGAAGGAGGGAGAUCAGAGAAGGCAAUGGGCAUGGUCUGAUGGGGCUAAGCAUGAAGGAGGCGCUCGUAGCUAUAAAGGUGUUGUUAUCAAUGGUCAAACAACUCAACAGAAUAAAAAGCGAGAUGUUCGGGAGUAUUAUGGGAAGGGGAAGGGGAAGGCAUCUGAUGCAGGUGGAUCCAAGUGGGUUAAGGUUGAUGAGAGGGGGAUCUAGAGUGGCUCCUUCUCACCACGGUAAUUACAGAGGUGGUGGCGAGGGUUCACGGUUCAGAACCUCCAGAAGAGACGAGGGAAGCAGCGGAGCUAAGGGUGAGGGAGCUGGGGUUCACGAGGCACGUAGUAGGCCUUCUAUGGAACAGCUGAGAGAUGAACAAAGACAGCAGAACAUAGGUCAGGAGGUACGUGAAGAAGGAGAGAUUAAGGGCACUGAUGCGGUAGAUGCCACUACAGCUACUGAAGAGUUUCAACUCGAACUAGCUAAGACGCAGGCAGAGGGCUCAGAAGCGAUUAUGGAGGCUACAAAGGAGGAGAUGGGGUUACUCCAGUUACAGGGAAUGAAGGAGAACCAAGAUGAUAUGGAAUUAGAGGCUAUUGAUAUGGAACUAGAGGCUAUCAAUGCUUCUUUAUUGGAGAGAGGGGUGGAGUUGACAACAGAAGAGGAGUUCCAGACUCUCUCGGAGGAGGAAGCGGAGAAAGAUUCUGAGGUUAUUGGGGUUCACGUCGAUCUGGGCUAUAUCAGAUCGGUGUUUGUUUUGAAGAAAGGAAUGAAGGGAUUUAAGGGAAUUCUUAAUUUCUAAUAAAUCAGAAUUGUCUUUUGGAUUUGUAGUUUUUUCUAUUUCUUCAUCCAUUUUUUCAUAGGACCUUCCCGUUGUCAUAUUCUUGAUAAGGCGUCUAGCUUCUUCGGGAUUCCUAGUGAUGAAAUUUCCAUCACUCGCUGUAUCGAGUGUGGUUUUAUAGCUCAAAUUAACACCUCCAUAAAAGAUGUUAAGAAGUUGUGGUUCUGAAUAACCAUGAUGGGGACAUUCAAGUUCAUAGCCUCUGAAUCUUCCCCAGGCGUUUUUAAACGAUUCGCGUGGACCUUGGCGAAAUGUAAAAAUUUGCUUUCUUACUUUCCAGUAGCGUUCAUCAGUGAAAAAUUCUCUAAGGAAGGCACUUCUAAUCUCUUCCCAACAAGUGAGUAAUCCUGCUGCUAAACAGUUUAACCACCUGAGGGCUUCUCCUUCUAGGGAGAAUGAGAAUAAUUUGCAACGAUCAUAUUCAUCUGGUACUAAUUCUUCCAAAGUUUCAAUAUGAUCUUGUGGGUGCUCUGGGAGGGAUCCACGGAAUGGGUUUUGACGAAUCAUACAGUAGUAAUCUGCGUUAAAACUUAGAUUUCUUGGUAUCGUCUCCUGGUAUUUUGAUAGCGGACCUAUUGGAAUAGGUCUUACCAGGAUCAAGGUAGUCUUGUAUGGAAAAUUUUAUAUCUUCACCUUUAGUUAAGGUGGAAUUUUCCUUAACAGGGAUUUCAGUCCCUUGUUUAGUUUGGCUAGCUUCAUUGCUCGUUUGACCAUUUUUUUCAGUUUGAACUACUUUCUCAUUAGCGGGCUUGGUAAGAGAAAACUUACCUGCUUCCGGCUGGGCGGUAUCGAUCAAUGUCGGCAGCUCCGUAUCGUUCAUUUUUUCUGACUCAACGUCGCUUGAUGGAAACGUGUCUCCGUCGAUCGAUGGUUGGUCGCACUCUGUGUUCUCCAUUCUUUGUGUCUGCGUAACAGAUUAAGAAAGAAAACUUUAGCAAGUUUUUCGUAACAAGUCUAUACUAAAUUCUCAAUUAAAUCUAAUGGUAAUAAGAAAGAGUCCCCGGCAACGGCGCCAAAUUUGAUAUCACUCAAAUUACCCUAAAGAGUGUUACUCUCAUCAACAGAGGUUCAGAUGUAGUACUUAGGGAUCAAAUCAACAUAGACUCUAGGAUUACUCAACAGACUUAAAUAAUUAGAAAUGAAGAUAGCCUAAAAGGUUUUAAUAGUUUUAAAAGUAGUAAAUGAUAAAUCGAAAACAAAAGUGAAACGAUAGAUUGAAUUGAAGUGGUUUCAAGAAUGGGAAAGCAGCUAGAUUCAGGUAAAUCUCAGGUAUGAAAUACAUGCACUUAGUUUAGACUAAAGGGUUUGAUGGUUUUUGAACUAAACAAUGGUUUAACCGGAUAGGUUAUUUUCGUUAGAUCUCGGAUCUCAACUGUCGUAUUCUAGCGAGCUUUUGCGAACAGGUUUAACUUGUUCUCUAACCUUCUCAGACCAACUGUCGUUGCGCCUGAGUUAGUUAGAUCACGCAAGUGGGUUCAGGUAUUGAGGGGAAACAGUUAGUUGGACUCAAUUAAUCCUAAGAUCUAAAAUGAAGAUGAUCAAUCUCAAUUUUAGCAUUAAGUUCACAAGCAAAUGAAAGAACAAUCAAAACACCUUUUUAAUAGUCAUAUUAGCAGUAUAUAAUUUCAACCAUGGUGAGAAACCUAAAUCUAACAAUUGGUUUACUCAAACAUAUUCAUGAGAGAAAAAGUCAUGAUGGCAUGAAAUAAACUCAAAUGAAACAUAGAACACAAAUAGAUAGAGUAAUAGAAAUAUAGGAGUUCAAGAUUUUCUCUGUUUUUGCAGUCCCAGAUCUAUCUCUCAAAUCCUAAACUCUUCUAAUGGUAGCCAAAAUGCUACUUUUCCAAACUAGGUCUUUUGCAAGUGUCUCCCUAAAAUGAUACAAAACCCUAGUACAUAUAGCCUAACAGGCGGCUAGGGACUUAAGUUGCAAAUAAUAUAUCUUCUGGGAAAUGAAAUCUUCUAAUUUGCGAUCUCAUUCGUAUGACUGGGCAUCGAUCGAUGCACAUGUAUGUUUGUCGAUCGAUGGUAAGUGAUUAUGAUCGACCGAUGUUGCUCUUCAAGCGUCGAUCGAUUUUUCUUGCGUAAAAGCAUUCCAAAAUGUCCCAAAAGUAUCAUUUCCUUCCAUCAGGUGAAUAAACCUGUAAUUUCUUUGAAAAGACUCUAAAAUAUGAUUAAUACAUCUUAAAACUUUUAUAUACCAUGUAUAAAAACGGGUGAAAAUCAUAGUAUAUCAGAUAGACAGAUAGAAAGUAGAAACAAACCUGUUUGGAAACAGUAGUGAACUCGUAAGCAAAGCUUACUCGUAAUUAAUUCUUUGAGAAAGUAAGUUGAAUAUGAAGCACUGCCACUUUCAUUGAAGCCUUUAAAAAUGGUGAAAUCCUCCCACUGACAAACCAGUCACUGUGUUGUAAGAAAUAGAAGAAGAACUAUAAAGUACCAAGAACUAUGAAGAACUAUGAACUAUGAACACUCGUAGUGGUCUCACCCAGACGUUUCCAUUUUGCUGCUUCUCAUUAUUGAGAGGUAGGAAAAGUCAAUGUCCCGUAAGAGUGAGCGGCGGGGCAUAGAUAUCUAAAUUGUCGGUCUCUGCUUGAGAAGACGACGAAUCAGUGAAAUAUAGAAGCACCGCUGCUUGGGUAGGGCGAAGCUCAAUCAACGGCGCGAAACCACCGGGAUGAAUAGAAGAUUAAGCCGAAACUCUUCGCCACCAUCGAGAUGAAGUGAUUCAAGCCCUGUUAUUUCCUGGAAGGCCCAACGCAGCCGGAUCUAGAUCCAUCCAUCUACGGUAACCAUUCCAAGUUCCAUCCAACGCCGCAGGAUGACCCUAGAAAUGUCAACCCAAGGUAUUUGAUGGUUGAUCUUUACAGUUUAGGAAUUUUGUUAGUGGAGCUCAGCACUGGAGCAAAGUUCAAUCUGUUUUAACUUUUAGCGCUCUAAAGAAAGUAAGACAUUGGGGUGAUUGGUUGGGCUGUAGGAGGAAACUUUAGCUUUAAUUUUCAUCUACAACCUUAAAUAUUACCAAUCAUGCUUUAUAUUGAUUUUUAAAGCUACAGCCAAAAAAAUAAAGCUACAGCCAAAAAACACAAAAAAUAGUUGUAAAAUUUUUAUUUUCUAAAGCCCCAUCUUUUUAUCUAUAGAAAACUUUAAAGCUACAUUUCUUUAAAGCUAAAUAAAAAAAUCCUACAGACUAAAUUUUAAAGUAAAUUUUCUAAAGCUACAGCCCAAUCAAUCACCCCCAUUAACAACUUAUUUUAUGUAUUUUACCAAAAAAAAUUUACUUUCUGUUAAUGUUUUUAAAACCGGACCGGAUACCGGCUCGGUAAAGCUACUGGUUAUGUGGUCGGACCGGUUCAACCGGUCGAACCGGGUUUUCUAUUUAAAAAUAAAUAAAUGUAAAUAAUCAUAUAUUUACACUAUAUAGACCUAAAAUGUAGUUCUACAUAUAAUAUGUUCUAUGUUCUCUUUUAUUAAUUAGAUAAUAAACAAUAACCAUAAGUUUAGUUAUAUAUACAAGUGAAUACUAUAUCAACCAAAAUUGAUUAAAAAAAUGAAUAACCAUUUAAAUUACAUAUUUACUUAUUUUUACAACUAAAAGUCUUAAAUUUUAUGAAUAUAGAAAAAUGAGAAUAAAAUAUGAGAGUCAAAAAGAGAUUUUUUUAAAAAACAUCUUUAAAAAAAAAAUCAAUUAGAAAACUAAUUAAAUAGUAAAAGUUAAACAUUAAUUAUGAAAUAUUAUAUUUUAAUAAUAAUUAAAAAUACAUUAAUUAUAUGUUGAUUUCUAUUGAACCGGUUUCAAAGUUUAACCGGAUCACCGGUUUUACCGGUUUUUAGCCGGUUUCACCGGUUUUUCUCAAAUCCGAAUUUUACACCGAACCGGACUCGGCUUCUUUAACGAGUCACGGUCAGACCGGUUCGACCGGCCGGUCCCGUCCGAUUUUCAAAACCUUUUUCUGUCUCUGUAUUUUACUAUCGGUGCGGGAGGUAUAUAUUUUUUUUUCUUAGUUGUUUUUUUUAGUUUUAGUCGACUAAAUAGAUCUUUUUUGUAACUUAAAACUAAAUAGAACUUCUGUCACCAAUUCGAGAGUAUAUGUAUUUUACUUAGUUAUGUCAAUUUAUUAUUUUAUACAUGUUUUUAAAUAAGUUCAUAAGUUUAGUAAACAAAAUAAUUUUUUACAAUAACUGAAUAGACUUUUAUGGAGGCGAUGCUUUUGGCGAUUUAGGGUUUCAUGAUUUCAAGAAGAUGGGAUCCGGGAAUUAGAGAUGGGGAUUGGGUUUUUCCGAUCUUUCAUGAUCAAUUCACGGAUUGUGGUUUUCAAGGUCUGCGUUUGGAUAGUUUGGGGACCGUUAUGGGAAUAGCGAAGGAGUUCUGUGAGAUCUUAUGGAUACUGCAGAUUUGGGGACAAAGGCGAGGGAUUUCAGAGGCUAUCAAGGUGGAUUGCAAUAUCUCUACAGGUUGUAAUCUAGAUUAUGAUUAUUUAAUUUUCCACUUUCAUCUAGUAGCGAUUGAUUUGCUUUACCUUAUGGAGGAUUGGGGGUCGUCGUAUCUUUCGGGAUUGAGAUCAGAGACUAUCAAAUUAAGGAGAUACGGGUUAAUUGUGGGAUAUUUGGUAUGGGAAUUUUUGGAAAACUGGGGUCAAUAUAAGAAAAAGUUUAUUGAGUCUCUUUGGCACAUCAUUGCUUUUUCAUUUUGCCAUUAUAUGCUUCAAUCGUGCUUCUUCUUUGUGAUACUCAUGACGCAGAGUCAGAUGUUGAAUCACGGUGAGGAGCUGAGGAACGGUGCAGGCAUGCGUAAGAGAUUGAAGAUUUCAGUGGCGCACUUCGACAAUUCUGCGCUGAUCAAAACCUAUUCCAAGACAUUGAUCGGGAGAUGUAUGAAUCCAGUGGAGCAGGAGAUGAAUGCGCUUUUCACAAAUCUCCCAAAGAUUUGGAAACAGGAAGAGAGGGUAACGGGUACUGAUCUGGGCUUUGGUAAAUUUCAGUUCGACUUCACGACGAAGGAGGAACUUGAAGCGGUGUUGAAGCAACAGCCUUACCAUUUUGACUACUGGAUGCUGGCUUUGGCAAGGUGGCAACCAAAACAAUCCAAGC